CCUACGGGGGGCGGCAGUGGGGAAUAUUGCACAAUGGGGGAAACCCUGAUGCAGCGACGCCGCGUGAGUGAAGAAGUAUUUCGGUAUGUAAAGCUCUAUCAGCAGGGAAGAAAAUGACGGUACCUGACUAAGAAGCCCCGGCUAACUACGUGCCAGCAGCCCCGGUC
RNAcentral lists this ribosomal RNA (167 nucleotides) under uncultured bacterium. RNAcentral's name for it is "partial 16S rRNA". It matches the Rfam family "Bacterial small subunit ribosomal RNA", at positions 338 to 522 of the family's 1533-position model. The record is from RNAcentral.